Molecule: non-coding RNA, 1457 nt
Organism: Linepithema humile (Argentine ant)
Lineage: Eukaryota; Metazoa; Arthropoda; Insecta; Hymenoptera; Formicidae
Source: RefSeq, a predicted model, not a curated record
UAUACAUAUAUAUAAUAAUUGUCGAAUUAACAUGGUAGUUCUUUUCAUUUUUAAAACGUUUCCCCUCCCCCCCCAUAUUUCAACAGAGAAAACGUUAGAUCAAUUUUAGAAAUGUCAUUAUCAAUACGAUUGUUAGCAAAAUUAAACGGAUAUUUCUUAGGAUAUCAAAGAAUGUAUUUGAUUACCGGGGAUGCUUUUUAAAACGAAAAGAACUUGCGAUGUGUAUCAUUAAAUACUCGCUAAAAUUAAAUUUGGUUGUAUCUUUCAGGCUUGUUAUUCUCGAUACGUUAGAAUGCAGAUAUGACACGGCAUUUCUCUGACGAAAGAAGUAACUUUUCUUUGUAUCUAACGCUAUAUGAAUAUCAUAUAAUUCGCUUUAUUAAUUCCUUCUUGUAAAACGAAUUAAUACUCUCACUUCCUUAUCAUCGUUAUCGCGCAAGACAUGACAAUGUACGCACUGAUUACUUUAUCGUCCAACUUCAUUAAGAUUAACGUGUAAUUUUUUAAUGUGCCUUUUUAUAGCUUCAUUGGGAAAUAAAAUGCGAUACGUAUCAAGCGUAGUUGGUGCCAGCAAAAUGAUCGUAGUAUUCGACGAAAAUAACAACAACAACAACAUACACGCUCGUAAAAUGAGAAAGUGAAGAUCUACUCUCCCGAUUUUUUCCAUCCAUUACGAGUUAAUCGCCUGCAGACAAUCGAACCAGUUGCGCCUGAGAGCAUUUCACGUGAACAAUUUGCCAGGAAUAUGCGACGUCGACGCGUGAUAAUAGCCAGUCGUCGCAAAGUUUUGUGUUCGCGGGAUUAGUUCGCGUUAAAUACCAAUCGAGGAUACGCGCGAGUACGUUUGGCGCGUGGCAGUACACGCUGCAGUUUCUAUUUUCUACUGUAUCGAUUUGCACACUGCUGUAGAGGAACUUAAAAGCGACGUGCACGUCCUAGUUGCGUCUAUUGUAAAUCAAAGUAAACAAGCUCGCCUGAAAAACAAUUCUCUCGCGCGAGUCUCGAACAAUAGAAUUCACCGGAAUAUCUGCGAAGGAAAGUGCGUUUCCAUUUUUUUUUCUUGCACUUUCCGAAGAAUGGAAACUAAACUAAUGACGUAAUCGUUGCGACGCGAUAAUAUCUGCAUACUUCGGCUUCCUAUAUAAUCAAUCGCUUAUCAACUUAUCGUUUUUCGAAUGAGAUGACGAGGCUGUUCUUGCUUUCUCCAUGCGACGACUCUAUCGAUGAAUAACCAACUCUGACACGCGCUAAUCGCGUUAGUGCAAUAUGGACAUCACGGAGAAAAGAGUUCAAUCUGCGAACCGUGUAAUUUUAAUUACACCGAUGUGUACUGCGCCUCUAACAAACAAUCGUUGAAGAAGCGACGCAAUUAUGUGAAAUUUUAAACUUUUGUGCGGAGUUUUUCCGUUUUGUACUUUUAACUAUCUUCUAUAAAUCUAACAAAUCUAUGAGCUCUA